This 248-nucleotide long non-coding RNA is filed under the name Carica papaya (papaya). RNAcentral's name for it is "long non-coding RNA (CPAP_LNC009863)". The record is from RNAcentral. Lineage: Eukaryota; Viridiplantae; Streptophyta; Magnoliopsida; Brassicales; Caricaceae.
AUGUACUAGAUAAAAAGGAAAAAGGGUUUAUAAAACCCUGACAAGUAGAUCUGAUGGUUAGCUAGUAUGUGGCUGAGUUUAUUCAAUUGUCAAGGUUCACUCCAUUAUGGGUAUCCACAAAAGUUCAGAAGGCCCAAAAGUUCUUAAAGGGUCUUCACUCAGAUAUCUUUGAUGAAGUUGCCAUGUCCAAGCCUAGUUCUUAUGAUAAAGUGCUGGAGAAUGCCCAAUUGGCCGAAGACCUUAUCUCG